AUGAACAAAACGGAGAAGGCAACGGAUGUGAGCUUUACAAUUGAUGAUGGCACCGGGCGUGUCAGUGUAAUCAGAUGGGUUAAUGACACUGCAGAUGCAAAUGAAGUGGCUGUGAUUCAGAAUGGCAUGUACGUUACACUCAUUGGGACCUUAAAGGACUUCCAGGGUAAAGUGCAAAUAUCAGCUUUCUCAAUUCG
Dendrobium catenatum is the source of this 197-nucleotide long non-coding RNA. RefSeq lists it as uncharacterized. The transcript is spliced from 3 exons. Lineage: Eukaryota; Viridiplantae; Streptophyta; Magnoliopsida; Asparagales; Orchidaceae. The record is from RefSeq and is a predicted model, not a curated record.